RNAcentral lists this long non-coding RNA (32136 nucleotides) under Triticum aestivum (bread wheat). Its description in RNAcentral is "long non-coding RNA (TAES_LNC016873)". The stretch from base 6834 to 6948 matches the Rfam family "MIR1120/MIR1122 microRNA precursor family". Lineage: Eukaryota; Viridiplantae; Streptophyta; Magnoliopsida; Poales; Poaceae. The record is from RNAcentral.
ACUUUUGUUGGAUUGCAAUUCAUCCGGAAUGUAACUUGAUCUUCUUCACCUUGGGCUGGGAUAGAACAUUCAUGUGCUAUGAUAUGGAUCGCCGGCAACUCAAAGUGAUAUGCAAUCUUGAAAAUUGCGCUCCACCAUAUCUGCCACAUGUGCCGCUAUAUGAAGAGUUACAAUCGUUGCACAAGUGAUGUCAAUUAUUUGUGCUAUUGCCUAUGGAGCAUCGGGUUUGGUACGUCUGCUGCAUUUGGUUUGGUCUGUGAUUGAAUGUUUUGAUGUUUUCUAUGCUUUUAAGUUUGGAGCAAUGGUGAGAUUCGUUCUGGGUCCAUUGUGGCUGAUUUCUCUCAGAUGGCUUAUUCAAAUGUUCAAUGUACUUUCUGUUGUAUGUACUUAUUUGUUAUACCAAUGGUUCUGGACACCAGAGGAUGUGAUACACUUCGGCUGAUUACAUUGUCACUACUUUUGGUGCUAUUUACUUGUCUGAUUCAAAUGGGUUAUGCUGUUAGCAUAAUAUCACAGCCACAAUGCUGUUGUUUAUCAAAUAGGAAAUAUUGUGGAUCAUACGUUCAUCCUGUUGGUAGACAACUUUUAACACAAAACUGCUCUAGAAAACUAGGAAGUCAUCGCUUUUGUCUUUGUGGAUUUUGUUCACGUAGGUAGGUUUAAGGAGUUUAAAGCAAGCGAUGUCGCCACAGUGCACUUCCCAUGUCAGUCUUCCUAUAAUGGUCCACAUACACUCCAGUCCAGGAACUCUUAUUUGUUAAAUAAGAGUGGUAAUUCAACUUACUGCUGUGGCGUUUGCAUAGUGGGAUGAUGUUCAUCUUCCAGGAGAUUCAUGCUGAGAAGGUCAUCAUGGCAAUUGAUUGCCUUGAGCUGGCAAAACCUUUGGAAAACUAGGACUUCGAACAACGCUGCAAUCUUACCUGUUCUUAUGCAAAUUUAGCAGCUUAGUAAGGUGUCCCUGCUUGAAUUUCGUCCUCACUCUGGCUGGAGUGCCCUGAUGCCUACAUGCUUUUAAGUUUGGAGCAAUUGUGGUUCAUUCUGCGGGGAUUGUCACUGAUUUCUCUGAGACUAAUUAUUCAAAAUCUGUGCCUCGUGUGUGAAUUGCAAUCCAGCCAAAGGGAAUUGCGUCAUGCUGCUGGCCUUCGGCUAGGCCACCUGUCGGUUUGGGCUUCAACCCAGAAGAAUCACUGCAUUGCAUUUCCAUGUAUUUAAGUUGGUACCACGACAUUGNNNNNNNNNNNNNNNNNNNNNNNNNNNNNNNNNNNNNNNNNNNNNNNNNNNNNNNNNNNNNNNNNNNNNNNNNNNNNNNNNNNNNNNNNNNNNNNNNNNNNNNNNNNNNNNNNNNNNNNNNNNNNNNNNNNNNNNNNNNNNNNNNNNNNNNNNNNNNNNNNNNNNNNNNNNNNNNNNNNNNNNNNNNNNNNNNNNNNNNNNNNNNNNNNNNNNNNNNNNNNNNNNNNNNNNNNNNNNNNNNNNNNNNNNNNNNNNNNNNNNNNNNNNNNNNNNNNNNNNNNNNNNNNNNNNNNNNNNNNNNNNNNNNNNNNNNNNNNNNNNNNNNNNNNNNNNNNNNNNCAGUGUGUCCGUCUCAAACCGGACAAUGGCCGUUAGUCAUACAUUUAUGUAGUUGCAGUGGACACGAACGGGGAAACAUGGAUGAAAUCCGGUGUCUCUACUAGUUUGGUUGAUGGUUUUACUUCGAGGACAUAGGGUCGUGUUGGAGCUGGGAGUGCAGUGUUCGGCGGUUUGGUGGCACUCUUUCUAGGGCCAUUGCAUGGUCUGAUGUUGGUUGCACCCCUUCGGGCCUAAUCGUCAAACCUCUGCCNNNNNNNNNNNGGACACGAACGGGGAAACAUGGAUGAAAUCCGGUGUCUCUACUAGUUUGGUUGAUGGUUUUACUUCGAGGACAUAGGGUCGUGUUGGAGCUGGGAGUGCAGUGUUCGGCGGUUGGGUGGCACUCUUUCUAGGGCCAUUGCAUGGCCUGAUGUUGGUUGCACCCCUUCGGGCCUAAUCGUCAAACCACUGCCCCAAGGAGCUGGCAGCAUUCUAUGCCGGAACUCCGUCUAAUCCGUCCUGGCAAACGAACUUGAGACAUGUCGAACCGGGGAAAACUGACUGGAAGAAAAAGCGCGAACAUCCAUCCGAGCGUUGCCCCGCGAGGACUAAACCAUAACCUAUCUACUAGCCAGAGCCGAGGCCACCAGGAUUGCCCUCCCCGCCAUCGACCGCCAGAGUGGCAGCCGAAGUGGAGACAUAAUCAUAGGCUUGCCGGGGUAGGCGAGGGAAAGAAGGUUUUGCCUUAAUCGUCUUGUGAGACGAAAAAGAAAAUUAAAUUGUUCUUGUUCCAUCAUCAACCCAUUGCUAUAGCUCAUUUUACGGAGUAAUGCAUUGUUGUUCACGACUUUUAUUCCCAGGUCACAAGCGAUAUUGAGAACAAGAAAUUUUCCUUGGAACUAUUAAGAGAAUUUAGAAGGUUAUCUUUUUUUCAGCUGUGUUAGGUCAUUUUGCACGUGUCCAUGUGUGACAAAAGAAGGCAACAAGCUGCUAAUGCGGGCAUGAGAAGGCCCUGAAUGCGCCAGAGUGAUGAAUUGCCGAGAGAGCUUCAUUGUUUAGCCCAUUCGGCGACCAAGUGACGGCCAUUGGUUAACGCAAGAAAACCGAAGUCUGGAGCCUAGUCGCAGUGCUUCAAUACCCUUCCGCCUUAUCGCUACGGCAGCACCACCGCCAUGUCCAUGUCGGCGGAUUGCUCCCGCCCGCGGGAGUAAGUCUACUGUUGGAAAUAAUCCAUACCUAGUCACGUUACUUACGUACUAAUAUGCUACAAUAGUUAAUUGGGAGUACUAGUCGUCAACCCGUGCAUCCGCACGGGUUAGUCAUUUUGCAAAUGCGUGGAGAUAUUAAUAGUAUACUAUAUACAUGGAUGUUGACAUAUUUUAAAUAUAGAAAAAUAAAAAAUUCAUAAUGUUUUUUUAGAAAAAUAAUACUACCGUGGAAGUACACUAUAUCACAUAUUCGUUAGUCAUGUUAGAAUAUGUUAGAGGAAUUGUUUUUUGCAAAAGUAGCUAGCAUUAAUAUAUUGAUCCGAUUUUAUGUGAACUGUUGCACUCUCCAAUGUGUUGCAAGAGCCUUAUCUUAGUCAUCACUGUUUUACUUAACCUUAUUAGGUACAAAAAAUGGAAAUUAUAAAGAGUAGAGAAUCGACAAAUAGUUUGUAGGGCAUGAAUUUCAAAUAUGCAACUCAAAACGAACAUAAUACAUUAGGAGCCAUUGGAUCAUAUAUGACUUCAAUGAAACAAUCGACCUAUUAUAAAAAAAUCAGGCAAUAACUUGAAAUAUUUCAUCACGUGAUUUUAUAACAUGCGCCUCGUUUAUUGUCCUUUUUGGCGGUACAAAUGAGCAAUGGAAACCUAAGUAACAGCAGUAUAAUAGCAAUAUCUUUACCAAACUUCGUCCAUUAUUAAUUACAAAUCACCUGGAAAUGAGAAUAUCACAUUAACUAAAUUUGAAACUUUUAUUUCAUUUGUUUGAACUAUUGAGGGUUGGAGGGUACCCUAAUCCUCAGAAAUUUAAACCCCUAAUUGGACUCUCUAAUGCAAACCUUCCUUUUUUGCCAAUGAUUUCACUGCUACUUAGCACAUACCAUCAUAAGCUAAAUACAUCAUUUUUUAUGCAGAUGUAUGAUGAGCAGUGCUAGUAAUUUCAUGAAAAAUGUGUAUGUGAAAAGAACACCUGAAAUUAGUAAAGCGAUGCAUGUUUACUCUAGUGCUCUGAAAGCUUAUUAACCUGGCAGAAUAUGACCAUGCUGCAUUUGAGGGUGACCAUAAUGUUCUACUCUAGCAGUUUAUUUCAUUUAUUGUUGUUUAUUGUCCGUGCCCGUGACUGGAAGAUACUUCAAGAUUGGCUUCAUUGCACCCACUGUUUUAAAUAGCCCACUAUAGCACGCUAUAGCGUUUACAAAGCGUCUUGCCCUAAGAGAUUUUUGUCCAAACAAAUGAACAAACAUUUUAAAUAGCGCGAUAUAGCUCCGCUAUAGCACGCUAUAGCAUUUGGAAGAGGUCCGCCGCUAAGAUGCUUAGCGCGCUAUUUAAAACUAUAAUUGCACCUAAUUUAAUCGUGUUGACGCAGGUAAGCAAUGCGCUGUUCACCACAAUAAGAAAAUUACCAGGUUAUUCCAGAUGUUCAUUUCCUUAACAUAUCAAGUAUAGCAUAUAUAAGCAAAAGGUUCUGUAGAAAAGCAAAGCAGACAUUAGUUUAUACCAACAUACUUCUAUGCACCUAUAGCAUUUAGAUCUCCAUAGUCGAUACGACCUGAUGAUUUUAAUACAUUUAAACUAUAUUUUAAGAAUACAUUAGGUAAUUAUACUUGCUAUAAACUUAUGAAAUUCAACUAUUUUGACAGGUUAUUAUCAAGGAAAAUAUUGACAAAAUGUACCGACAAAAAACCAAUCAUCUAUGAUAACAAAAAUUUAAAGGGCUAUUUGUACACCAUCUUAUAACAAAAAAGCAGCAUUAGCAAUGCAUCAAAAUUACAAACCAUCUUAUAACAAAAUAGUACACCACAAAACUUAUGGCCAGAAUAAUCGAGAAAAACGUAUAUCUAUAGUGAUCUUCCAGUGCACCCAAGACUGAAAUAAAAUAGAAGCUAAAGGAACAAAUUUAAUUAGGAGCACAUAGCUAAAUAUACUUCAGUUUUGUAAUCCAAAAAGAUAAAUUUAUCUAAAUGACAAAAAAAGAUAAAUCUUUGCAAGUACAAAAAUAGCAACUUAAUAAUGCACCAGAUAAUAAUCCAAGCAAACUUGUAGGUAUAGCCGAACAUGCUAGCAUUGGCAUCAGAUCAAUGGAUUGGGCAGCGUGUUUCUCCGCCAAGCAAAUAGACAUUGCCAAGCACUCCUAUAUGUUCAGGUCCUCAACGUGAGAAUCUUUAAAGGUGAUUUCCCUACUUUGUUAGGAUAGUACAAUGGUAUCAUAACCAAGCUACGGAGAUUUUAUAUUUAACCUACAUAUGAUAAUAUAUUGUAAUCUGUAAGUUAGAGUCACAUCCGAUUUAUUUGAACGGCUUAUUAAGGAGGUAAUAGUAAUUAAUGCAACAACUGCAAAUAGAAAUUGUUUCUCAGUGUUCCUCCUGAGUUAUGAACAUGUAUUUAUAUGUUUGCAUCAUCAAAAAUCCAGUGGAGCUUAGCACAUCAUUUUUUCCAAGUGAACGUAAAUGUGAGAGCAUAUAUUUGACUCUGGAAGGCUACUGCUCCAUGCUCGGUGGCAUAUAUUAAUUUAGUGCUACCAUUGGUGUCGCUUCCAAGUAUGAUUUGGCGAGUCAACAUGGGGGUCGUCUUUCUAUAGGACCUGUGUAAUCCUUGCCAUGCCAUCUGGUUAAGUUUAAGCAUCCCCGUGUCAAUUCUCCAUAUUCUUGUGUAUAACGUUAUUGGAUGAGCUGUGAAGACCGGUCCAGUUCAUGCAUCUGCAUAACUGAUGUUAAAGCAAGUAAAAGGCAAGAAAAUAUAAAGAACUGGAGCAAUAGUCAAUAUUUUGGGAUGGAGGGAGUACUUUAUUUAAAUAGAUUAUGUCAAUACUAAACUGUAGAAGUAAAAUCCUUUAUAAUCUUAAGAAUGCAUACAAUGAAUCAAAAUCUGAAUUCAUCAUUGAUGCCAAUUAAUUAUCAUCUAACUGUCAAUUAAGUGAAUAGUAAAUCUAAUGAAGAUAUUUUUUCAAGGUUUUCAUAUAUACUAAGGAUGAAUGCACGGUACAUACCUAUUGGACGUGAGGGAGAGGUUGAGAUAACCAAAAGGAAUAAAUAUGUGGGUCAACUUAGAAAACAAAACAUAGCUUCACCUGCACUACUGCAGAACCGGGCAAUAGCACCGGUUCGUAAGGCCCUUUAGUGCCGGUUCCAUAACCGGCACUAAAGUGUGGUCACUAAAGCCCCUCCCCCCCCUUUAGUACCGGUUCUGCACAAACCGGUGCUAAAGGGAAACCACGUGGCACGAGCCAGCUCCGGGGGCCUGGAGCCCUUUAGUACCGGUUGGUAACACCAACCGGUACUAUAAGGUUUGGGGGUUUUUAGUUUUAUGAUUACAUGCCCAAAGAACAUAAUAGUGUAUAUAUCCUACUAUUACUUCAUAUGCUUCAACAAAUUCCUGAGGAAAACUCUGCUAUAGGAAUUCAAGUGUUGGCACUUUAACAAUUCAACGAACAGUUGAGUGCAUUACCAAACAGAAAACAUAAUUGGAUCCCUACGUGCAUAAGAAAGGACCGGAAGAGUGAAAACAGAUUGUUGGCUGGAACAGUACCUCAAUAUCAGGUUGAUCUCGUAUUCGUCUAAAUCGUCGAUGGGCAUGCCCAUGUCCAACCGCCUGCAGUAUAUGUGUGUGGUGCGUGUCUCACCAUGUAGCUGGUCCUAUGCUUGAACGAUUCAUGUCAUCUUCCUCUGCCGCCAUGAUGUUUCAGCACCGCCCCCUGAUGGCAUCUCUUUCAUGUUCCUAAGCAACCUCCACUUUCUCUAUGAAGUGGCGGCUGUGUGCUGCCACGAUGAAUGCACGGUGGUGAGGAGAUAAAAGAAAGCGUCCUUGCAUCUAGCAAAUGGGAGUCAUGCGCCCCCAUGAGAAAUUUCCGGCGGCGAGAGAAAAAUAGGUCGGUCUCGCAGAAAGAUAAAAAAUAGGUGGAAGUCACGGGACGGAGAACCAAAGUCGGCCAUAGUUUUCUUGAGGGUGAUAUAUAGGCAUGGUCAUCAUUUAGAUGAGACCAUAAAUCCUUUUUUUCUCUUGGAGGAGAGGGUGGCUGGGUGCCAGGGAAGAUCGAGAGGCAUGGGUUAGCGACGAUAAGCUGAACUGGCGUCGAGGAGAUCGGAGGUACUCCCUCCGUUCGGAAUUACUCGUCCAAGGAGUGAAUGUAUCUAGAUGUAUUUUAGUUGUAGAUACAUCCAUUUUUGUGACAAGUAAUUCCGGACGGAAGGAGUAACACGAAGGGAAUCGUCUUGGGUUCCUCUUUUUUUCCAACAAAACGAACUUGGAUCCUAUUUUUUUACGAAGGAUUAAGGUGGCUCUUUGAAAAGAACUUUGGCAUAGGUCGUUAGCUAUUUUUUCCCUCAAAACAAUCACGAGAGGGAGAUGCUUACGUGACAGUUGUUUUUCAUGUGGGAGAUUGAGAAAUUUAGGUCGUGAGGGACAUGACUUUUUUUUCAUCCCAAAAUCAUAUUGUAGAUUGUAUCGUAAUCUCUAGCAUCCAACAACCUGGGAGGGUUUAGAAGUAAAUAGGAGAGAACGCAGAUUUUCCAUCUUUUUGUCUUUUUGAGGAAACGUGGAGAGUCCAAGGUGAGUACGACUACCACAACAAUCUCGUGACCAACCCAAAAAUCAGUUUUUUUUCUCAUGAACCCAGGAAAAAUUCGGAAGAUCUAGACCGUAAUAAUUAGGUCCCACAAGAUUAACGGCUUUUAAUUACUGAUUAACGUGGAAUUUUUUAGGAAGUCUGUAAUUAGUAUAGGUAUAGAUAGAUAGAUGGACUGUGCUAACCACCAGUCGACUGGUGGUUAGCGACAGAUCCGCACGAUCGCUUCUCCCGCUCCCCGCUUCGUUCCCCUCCCUUCUCCCGUUUUCUUUUCUGGCGUGGUAAAAAAAUGUACAAAGUGGGACUCAAACCCACUACCUACGGUUCACCACAACUGUUCACAACCAACUGAACCAGCUUGAAUUCUGGCUAUAAUUUAGGUUGGGUAAUAUUUAAACCGGACUGUGCUAAACAGAUCCGAGCGCCGAACGGUUUUUCUGGCACACAUCCUUCUUUCUCGAUCCCAUCCCAUCGCUUCUCCCGCUUCAUUUUAUUUCCUAGCGUGGUAGAAAACAUGGUAAAAAGUGGUAUGAGGUGGGAGUUGAACUCACUACCUCUUGAUUCAAGAUCGCUUGUCAUAACCAUCUGGUCUAGUUUCAAGUUGUGAUUACAUAGAAUGCCAAUAAAUAUUUGUACUUCUACAUACGCGACCAGAAAAACAAGUUGUUUUUCUUUCUUUUUUAUUUACCAAAUUUCCUUUUCUUUUGUACAUGGCAAUCCAUGCAUCACAGACUUGAUAACUCGCGCGCCGCUGUAACCUUUUGACCUUAGGUAAAAUGUUGUAAUAAUACACCUCGAUAACUUAUCUGUAAAAGAGCAUGGUAAUUAUACGCCACGAACCUGAUAACUCACUCACAAAUCUCUGUGGUAACUGUGAAGAAAAAGUGUUGUUGUAGCACACCCCGAUAACUUAUCUGGAAAAAGAGCAUGAUAAUUUAUUACGCCAUGAAUCUGAUAACUCACGCACAACACACUAUGGUAAAUUUUCUGACCACAUGAAUUUUUGUUGUUGUAACAAAUCCCAAUAAUUUCUUUAUAAAGAGCAUGGUAAUAUAUAAGCCACAAACCUGUUAACUCACUCACAAACAAUGCUUAACUUUUUGCACAAAGAAAAAAAGUUGUAUGAAUAUACCCCGGUAACUUUUUUGUAAAUAGCAUGAUAAUGUAUACGCACGAACAUGAUAACUCAUGCACAAACACCAUGAUAACUCACACACAACAAAUAUUUUCGCCCAAGUAAAAAGUUACUAUGGUGUUUUGUACAUAAGUUAUCAGAGGUGUGGGCACACAAAAGUUACCGGAGUUACAUUUUAAACAACCUUUUUUUCUCAGAUUAAAGUUAUCAGGGUAUUUGUACCUAAGUUAUCAGGUUUGUUGUCGUAUAUUAUCAUGCUAUUUAUAAAGAAGUUAUUGCGGAUGUGUCUUCAACAUUUUCUUUCCCGGAUAAAAAUUACCGUGGUGUUUGGACCUGAGUUAUCAGGUAAGCGGUGCGUAUAUUACCAUAUUAUUUUACACAUAAGUAAUUGAAGAUAUGAUUUUAAGAAAGAAAAAUCAUAGGUCAAAGUUAUCACAUUGUCUGUACCCCUAAGUUAUCUGGUCUAUGGUGCACAUAUUUCCAUGCUAUUUAUAUUGAAGUCAUCAAGUUGUGUAUUUAACCACUAUUUUCUGCCGGGUCAAAAAUACCGUGAGUAUUACGUACCAUUGAAGAUGUCGGAGUAUAUUUAAGCAACUUUUUUCUGGGUCAAAGUUAACAUAAUAUUUGUUCAUCAAGUUAUGAGAUCCAUAUCUCGCCAAAAACAAGUCGUUUUCAUGGGCCGGACCACUAGCACGCUAUAAGGAUGUUUGUAUAAAAGUUAUCAUGAUUUUUGUAUAUAACUGAUCAAGUUUGUUAUGCGUGAGUUACCAUGCUAUUUACACAUAAAUUAUCGUCAAACAACACUCCCCCACUGGACCAAAAUUAUCAUGUAUACGGUGCUUAUAUUAUCAUGCUAUUUUCACAUGAGUUAUCGGGAUGUGUUUUAAAAUAUUUUUUCACCUGAUCGAGGUUUCUACAAUAUUUGUACGUAAGUUAUCAAGGCUGCGGUGAAUAAAUUAUCAUGUUAAGACCAUGAACUCAGCUCAUAUCUAUGUACAAAGAGUACAAGAGUCUAGUCUUAUAUGUUAAAUCAUGAGCUCAACUCACAUCUCUAAUUUAUUUUUGAUAAAAAUGUAUGUUUUGUAUAUUUUUUGGUAAAAAGUUUGUAAGAAAAACCGAAAACGACAGCAGAAUAACACUCGAUCAGAUCUGUGAGUAGAAAAGUCUACCUCAACAUAAAGGUAUGAAAAGUAUGUAACAAGAAUCAAAUCACAACAUAGAGUUUGCUUAGGUGGUUGCUGCUAGGUUCCUAAUACUGCUGGAUCUAUCAGAUCCCAGGUUCGACUCCCCUAGCACUCCUAUUUUUUUACCGAAAUUAAAAAAAGACAGCCCAAAAAAGGCUCGAGCGGGGAUUGUGGAUCGACAGCGGGCGGGAGCGGGAGCGAUCGUAAAGAAAGAUCGAAGGAAAAAAAACAGGCGGAAGCGGUCAUACGUGCCUAUUGCAAACUGACAGUCGGCAGGUAUUUAGAUUUCUCGUAGAUAGAUAUAGAUAUAGAUAGAUAAAUAGAUAGAUAGAUAGAUAGAUAGAUAUAGCUAUUCGGCGUGCCGUGUCCUGCUACUAAAAGUUGUAAUCAGGUCUAGUUUGUUCGAGGAGUAGUAGCUUGUCUAGGUUAUCUAGUCCGACCAGAACAUGGAGUCCUUUGCCAAGUCACGUUGGGUCUGCUCCUAGGUGUGUAUAUAAAGCACACCAGGGCUGUUGUUUUUUAUGUGUAUAGCCAUCGCAAACUCCUUCCACUACUGGAAUUUUCGUAUACGCGGGGUGUCGGUGUCUUCACCGAGAGCCAAAACACAAUAACCUUAGUAGGAAUGAUGUCUCCCACGUUCUACCCCCGUACGGAUGGUGCGUCUAGCAUCGUUGGAGGGCGUGUGGAGGUGUGUCUAUGCGGAUCUCGCGGGAUUUGAUCGGUGCUGGUCUUCGGUGGAUCUAUUUGGAUCUGGUCUUUGUCUUUCUCUGGGUGUUUACAUGUUUGAUUUUUUGGAUCUAUGACUUUCUUCAUCAUCGAUGGUUGCUACUCUGGUGCGCUGGUCAUAUGGGGCAUUAGCACGAGUGCACGAUGACCUCCGAACUGUUUACUAUAACAAGGUUUGUCUAGCUCCGCUGAAGGAGGAGCGAAUGACGGUGGUGCGCUUUCGGCUCUCUCCAAUGCUUGUAGUCAUCGCUAAGUGGUCCACGGAUAUGACUGAAUUUUUUAUUACCUCUAUUGUUCUUUGUACUGCCAUGAUUAAAGAUAAAUAGAGUGGAAGUUUCUCGCAAAAUAAAAGUUAAAGCAAAUAGUACAAAACAGAAAUAAUAGGGUGAUCACAUGACGUGUGGUUCCUAGUUUUGUAAAAAAGAGAGCUUAUUUACGAUUCUUAAGGAAAAGUUGAAAAAAGGAAAGAAUUGCAAGUUAAAAGGGGAAUAUGUUGGCAAAUAGUGAAACAGAAGCACCUUGUUAUGCUAAUCAUAUCAAUUUUAGCAAGGAAGGGAAGCUAAAAUAUUCUUGUUCAACAAAAAACACAAUAACCAAAAUUAAUAAUUGUUUCAUGUAUGAGUAUAACCUCUCGCAAAUCUAUUUGCUUGGCUACAUGCCUACAGAAAAAAGAAGGAUCUUUUGUAUAAAGGGUGGAUUUAAUUGACUCAAAAGGAUGCAACAAGAGGAUACAAACACAACAAGCACACACCCGACCUCUAUAUUACUAGGAUGCACACAAUCAACUAUACACACACGCAAAGAAUUAAGUUGACAAAAAGAGCAAAAUCAUACUAGAUUGUAUAUAGGCCUAGGUGGACUGAAUGCUGGAAACUCAAAACAAUGAUCGACGAACUAUAUAAAGAAUGACCACCUACAACAGUCAUCUCUUGGACAACACAAGGACAAUGUAAAGGUUCUCCUGCAGCAACUCCUCCAAGAAGGGAAUGAUGCUCAUAGACCAUGUCAUUGGAUCCGACCACCGGAGGCCAGUGGCGGAGCGUGAUGAGCAAACAAGGGGGGGGGGGGCAACCUCAAACUCAAAGUAAAAUAUGUGCAAAAACACAUGCAUCUCACUGUCUCAUAACAAAAUAUUGCUUUCUCUCAGUUAAUUGCAGUUUUUCUCCUGUCUCCUUCAAAUAUCGGCUAUCGGCAGGCGGCAAUGGUGCACAUCAAGUAGAAGCAAAGCCUGUUGCAAUCCAUCGAUUCAUGUUGCGCCUCUGCCAUUCUUGCCGAGAGACUCCGCCGAGAGAGUCGAUUCAUCUAAUCGAUCAGCCCAUGUCAAGUUCACGUGCAGGUGUAGAUACGUGUGCUGGUACUUGUUACAAUGCAACUUGUAUUACUAGGAGGUCAAAGCCACCAUGUAUAUGAUGUACAUGAGGAUGCCAAAAGUCAAGAAUACGCUGAAGACGAUGUAGGAGACAACAUCACAGAGAGAUGAGCACCAAGCACCGAGCGACGAUGCAUGCGAGACGGGAUCAAUAUAGGGAACACUGUCAGAAGUCGGCGAGCAGCGACACAGAUGCAGGGACCAAAACCUCAUAUCCAUUUUUAUCUCUCUCUUUUUUUACACUCAGAAACAACCAGUGGAAUCGACCCAAAAUAACGGAAUCAAUAGGCCGAACGAAGUAUUAGCGCUCACGCGCGAGGCAGAUAGCCAGCGGGCUGACUCCAAAAGUAGGAGCGAAGACCAGGGCGCUCGAUCCAUAGGACGAGAACGGCACCCCCUCGAUCGAGGGCAGACGAAUCGUGAGCGGGUCCCAAUCUGGGCUUCAAAGGGCGGCCGGGUGUCCAGAGGACGCCCACGACUGGAGCCGCCAGCGGGGUGUGGAGAGGGCGCCCUCGCCUGGAGCCAGAGGUGGCCGCGGCGGGAGGUGGGAACGGCGGCCUCGAUGAGAGGGGGAGGCGCCACGGCCGUGGCGGGAGGUGGAGUCGGCGACCUCGGCGGGGGGUGGAGGUGCGGCGGCCGCGGCGGGAGGUGGAGGCAGCGUCCUCGGCGGGAGGUGGGCACGGCGGCCUCGGUGAGACGUGGUGGCGUGGCAGACGUGGCGGGAGGUGAAGGCGGCAACGUCGAUGGGAGGUGGGAGGUGGAGGCGCGGACCUAGGGUAGAUCGGCGAGAGAGCCGCCGGAUCGGACUGGUCUAGAGCAGAGAAAAACUACAACCACUGGCAAAAUAAGCGACGGCAGCGUGCGAGGUUGGAUCAGGAGGCGAGUUACAACGUCAAAAAAAACUCUGAACCUAGGCUCGAUACCAUGUUAUAAUGCAACUUGUGUUACUAGAAGGUCAAAGCCACCAUAUAUAUGAUGUACAUGAGGAUGCCAAAAGUCAAGAAUACGCUGAAGACGCUGUAAGAAAAAACGUCAUAGAGAGACGAGCACCAAGCACCGAGCGACGACACAUAUGCGGGACGGGAUCAAUAUAGGGAACACUGUCAGAAGUCAGCGGGCGGCGACACAGUGACGGAAACCUCAUAUCCAUUUUUACUCUAUUUUUUUACACUCAGAAACAACCAGUGGAAUCGACCCAAAAUAACGAAAUCAAUAGGCCGAACGAAGUAUUAGUGCUCACACGCGAGGCAGAUAGCUAGCGGGCUGACUCCAAAAGCAGGAGCGGAGACCAUGGCGCUCGAUCCAUAGGACGAGAACGGCAACGCCUCGAUCGAGGGCGGCCGAAUCGCGAGCGGGUCUCAAUCUGGACGUGCAAGGGCGGCCGAGUGUCCAAAGGGCGCCCUCGCCUGGAGCCGGUGGUGGCCGCGGCAGGAAGUGUGCACAGCGGCCUCGAUGAGAGGUGGAGGCACGGCGUCCGCGGCGGGAGGUGGAGGCGGCGACCUCGGCGGGAGGUGGAGGCGCGGCGGCUGCGGCGGGAGGUGGAGGCGGCGACCUCGGCGGGAGGUGGAGGCGGCGACCUCGGCGGGAGGUGGGCACGACGGCCUUGGCGAGAGGUGGCGACGUGGUAGGCGCGGCGGGAGGUAAAGGAGGCAACCUCGACGGAAAGUGGAAGGUGGAGGCACAGACCUGGGGCAGAUCGGUGAGAGAGACGCCGGAUCGAACUNNNNNNNNNNNNNNNNNNNNNNNNNNNNNNNNNNNNNNNNNNNNNNNNNNNNNNNNNNNNNNNNNNNNNNNNNNNNNNNNNNNNNNNNNNNNNNNNNNNNNNNNNNNNNNNNNNNNNNNNNNNNNNNNNNNNNNNNNNNNNNNNNNNNNNNNNNNNNNNNNNNNNNNNNNNNNNNNNNNNNNNNNNNNNNNNNNNNNNNNNNNNNNNNNNNNAACUCUGAACCUAGGCUCGAUACCAUGUUAUAAUGCAACUUGUAUUACUAGGAGGUCAAAGCCACCAUAUAUAUGUUAUACACGAGGAUGCCAAAAGUCAAGAAUAUAAAAGGGCAAAGGCCACCAUCAAUCUUUCCCUAAUAAUAAUAAAGCGCUUGUCGUCAGCCUUUUUGCAAAAUAGUCCCCUUGUUUCAGAGAAAUUAAUCCUUAGUCCUACUUAUAGUGUGUUACUGAUGGAUAGCGUUACAUUGUUUUGCAAAAAAAAAACUGCCACCACCGGCCACCUCCACCACUUAUCCAUUGCUUGCCUCCACUGGACCGCCAGGCGUGCCCUGCCGCUUGCCACUGGCGUCAACGCUGCAGAAGCCAAGGCAGGGAUGCGUCGCAGCGAGUGUCCACGCCGCUCGAGCCCGGGAAUGGGGCAAGGCGUUGUAGAGCGUGGCAGACCGAGGCGUCGCGGUGGGCGUUGUAGAGCGCGGCAGACCGAGACGUCGCCGUGGGCGUUGGAGGGCGCGGCGGACUGAGGCGUCGCCCGAUUCCUGGUGCACCAUCAAUAUAACUUUAACGGUGCUAUUAUAGAUCAAUCCAGGUGCUUAUGUGCUAGCUCUUGCACGUACGUACAUACAGCUCAUGUGGUGAUUUGAUCUAGUGGUCUAAAAAUCAACAAGGAGAAGAGACGAGCGCGUCCGUGUGUUUGUGGAACCUGGGAGGGAGGAGUUUAUUCUUGAGUNNNNNNNNNNNNNNNNNNNNNNNNNNNNNNNNNNNNNNNNNNNNNNNNNNNNNNNNNNNNNNNNNNNNNNNNNNNNNNNNNNNNNNNNNNNNNNNNNNNNNNNNNNNNNNNNNNNNNNNNNNNNNNNNNNNNNNNNNNNNNNNCCUCCAUGAGCCUCCGCUAGUGCCGAAGGCCACAUUCUAGGUUUUCACCUUGAAAAUGAAGUCAAAGCAACUUUAAGCAAUGCAUUAAAAAAUGUAACGAUAAAUGACCCAAAAACACUGUCAUUGCUAGGUAUAGCCCACUAGAGUUAGACCUAGGGUUUUCACCUGAGACUCAAGAUUAGGUACUCGAGAAGCACCACUAAAUCGAAGACAUCCUAUUUUUUCACCACAACUUGCCAUGAUCCUAGUAACUAUACACAUGCACAAUUUUAACUAGUGAAGCCACACAAUUAAUGACCAUGCCCGCACAAGCAGGCAGUCAAACUGAGACAAGAGUUAGUUGCCACCAAAGGCUCAAAAUGGCGAAGGAAACUAUCAUACAUACAAUAAAGAUUGAUGAGGGAGGAAGGUCACCUCCUAUGUGGUGCUCUAGAUCACCUCCUAUGCACACGAGGUGUUUGAUGGAAUGCCCGAGCCACACUACUUAAGCUUUCUCCUCUCCAAACUCGACCUCCAACCUCCAUUUUCCUCAAUAUUUGUCUAGGUUUAGCGGUCCGUCACGUCCCGUCCCCGUCUUCACCGCCGUCGAUCGCCCGCGCCGAUCUCAUCGCCGGCACCACCGUGGUGAGCCUCUUGUUCUUAUCUUUUUUCUGAAAGGAAAAAAAAUCUUACUUGUAUAUUUAUAUAGAUACUUGUAUAAUUUUCUUACUUUUAUUAUUGCAUCUUAUAUAGUGCGAUGGAUUUGGUAUCCGCCCCCGUCGGCCCUCGUCCUGUCUAUGAUUCAGAUGUGGUAUAUAUUAUCUUUUCAUAACUAUUGGUUCAUUUAUUGUUUAUGACAAUUAUGCCGACCAACGUGACAUAGAUUUUAUUUAUCUAGGAGGUUGUUGAACUGGAAAUUCCAACCGACCCUACUGUCGAGAGGUUAAAUUUAGUUGAAGAAGAAAACAAUUUGUUGAAGGAAAAAAUUAGAAAAAUUGAGGAGGAGAAGAUGAUAUUGGAGUUGCAUGUUGCGGAUGUCGUCGAUGAUCACAAGAUCAAGAUGGAUGCAAUGCGCUUUAAGAUUAAAAAGAUUAGAAAAUAUGCCAUUCAUACCAAGGCUUGGUAUCAUUAUGUCGUUGGAUCAGUUGUUACAUUGGUUGCGAUUAUGAUCGCAUUUGUUUUCGCAUUGAAAUAUUUUACAUAGUUUCAGUGUAUGGUUUAAUUAAUUUAGAUGCUCUGCAGAGCUUUAUGUUGUUAGAUGAGAACUAUGUAUGUACUUUGGUUUUAAUGUGAUGAUGAACUUCUAUUAAUUUGGUCAUUUAAUUAUCUAUUCAUGAUGUUCUGUAAUGAUUUUUGACACACUUAAUUAUAUAUAAUGCACGCAGAUGAACCGGCAAUGGAUGUACGGUUCAAGACACACCUCCGAGUACAUUAAGGGCGUGCAUGAUUUUCUCGAAGUGGCUGAGGCAAACAAGCAGAAUGGUUUUAUGUGUUGUCCAUGCCCUAUAUGUGGGAAUACGAAGUCUUACUCUGACCAGAAAAUCCUCCACACCAACCUGCUUUACAAGGAUUUCAUGCCACACUAUAAUGUUUGGACGAGGCACGGAGAAAUAGGGGUUAUGAUGGAAGACGGCGAAGAAGAAGAGUACGAUGACAACUAUGUGCCCCCUGAAUACGGUGAUGCUACUGAAGAUCAAGAGGAACCAGACGAUGUGCACGAUGAUGCUGCAACGGGCGAAGCUGCUGAAGAUCAAGAGGAACCAGAUGAUGUGCCCGAUGAUGAUGAUCUCCGUCGGGUCAUUGUCGAUGCAAGGACGCAAUGCGAAAGUCAAAAGGAGAAGCUGAAGUUCGAUCGCAUGUUAGAGGACCACAAAAAAGGGUUGUACCCCAAUUACGAAGAUGGCAACACAAAGCUCGGUACCGUACUGGAAUUGCUGCAGUGGAAGGCAGAGAAUGCUGUGCCUGACAAAGGAUUUGAGAAGCUACUGAAAAUAUUGAAGAAGAAGCUUCCAAAGGAUAACGAAUUGCCCGACAGUACAUACGCAGCAAAGAAGGUCGUAUGCCCUCUAGGAUUGAAGGUGUAGAAGAUACAUGCAUGCCCUAAUGACUGCAUCCUCUUCCGCGGUGCGUACAAGGAUCUGAACGCAUGCCCGGUAUGCGGUGCAUUACGGUAUAAGAUCAGACGAGAUGACCCUGGUGAUGUUGACGGCGAGCCCCCCAGGAAGAGGGUUCCUGCGAAGGUGAUGUGGUAUGCUCCUAUAAUACCACGGUUGAAACGUCUGUUCAGAAAUGGAGAGCAUGCCAAGUUGAUGCGAUGGCACAGUGAGGACCGUAAGAAAGACGGGAAGUCGAGAGCACCCACAGACGGGUCGAAGUGGAGAAAAAUCGAGAGAAAGUACUGGGAUGAGUUUGCAAGUGAGCCAAGGAACGUAUGGUUUGCUUUAAGCGCGGAUGGCAUUAAUCCUUUCGGGGAGCAGAGCAGCAAUCACAGCACCUGGCCCGUGACUCUAUGUAUGUAUAACCUUCCUCCUUGGAUGUGCAUGAAGCGGAAGUUCAUUAUGAUGCCAGUUCUCAUCCAAGGCCCUAAGCAACCCGGCGACGACAUUGAUGUGUACCUAAGGCCAUUAGUUGAAGAACUUUUACAGCUGUGGAAUGGAAACGGUGUACGUACGUGGGAUGAGCACAAACAGGAGGAAUUUAACCUAAAGGCGUUGUUGUUCAUGACCAUCAACGAUUGGCCCGCUCUCAGUAACCUUUCAGGACAGACAAACAAGGGAUACCACGCAUGCACGCACUGUUUACUUGACACAGAUAGUAUAUACCUGGCAAGCUGCGGGAAGAAUGUGUACCUGGGCCAUCGUCGAUUUCUUCCGACCAACCAUCAAUGUCGAAAGAAAGGCAAGCAUUUCAAAGGCGAGGCGGAUCACCGAAAGAAGCCCGCCAUGCGUACCGGUGAUCAUGUACUUGCUAUGGUCAAUGAUUUACACGUAAUCUUUGGAAAGGGUCCCGGCGCACUAGCUGUUCCGAGUGACGCUGGGGGACACGCACCCAUGUGGAAGAAGAAAUCUAUAUUUUGGGACCUACCCUACUAGAAAGACCUAGAGGUCCGCUCUUCGAUCGACGUGAUGCACGUGACGAAGAACCUUUGCGUGAAUCUGCUAGGCUUCUUGGGCGUGUAUGGGAAGACAAAAGAUACAGCUGAGGCACGGGAGGACCUACAACGUUUGCACGAAAAAGACGGCAUGCCUCCAAAGCAGUAUGAAGGUCCUGCCAGCUAUGCUCUUACCAAAGAAGAGAAGGAAAUCUUCUUUGAAUGCCUUCUUAGUAUGAAGGUCCCGACUGGCUUCUCGUCUAAUAUAAAAGGAAUAAUAAAUAUGGCAGACAAAAAGUUUCAGAACCUAAAGUCUCAUGACUGCCACGUGAUUAUGACGCAACUGCUUCCGGUUGCAUUGAGGGGGCUUCUACCGGAAAAUGUCUGAUUAGCCAUUGUGAAGCUAUGUACAUUCCUCAAUGCAAUCUCUCAGAAGGUGAUCGAUCCAGAAAUCAUACCAAGGCUAAGGAGUGAUGUGGUGCAAUGUCUUGUCAGUUUCGAGCUGGUGUUCCCACCAUCCUUCUUCAAUAUCAUGACGCACGUCCUAGUUCAUCUAGUUGACGAGAUUGUCAUUCUGGGCCCCGUAUUUCUACACAAUAUGUACCCCUUUGAGAGGUUCAUGGGAGUCCUAAAGAAAUAUGUCUGUAACCGCGCUAGGCCAGAAGGAAGCAUCUCCAUGGGCCAAACAGAGGAUGUCAUCGGGUUUUGUGUUGACUUCAUUCUUGGCCUUAAAAAGAUAGGUCUCUCUAAAUCGCGGUAUGAGGGGAGACUGAGUGGAAAAGGCACGCUUGGAAGGGACUCAAUAAUAUGCAGGGACGGAUAUUCUUGGUCUCAAGCACACUACACAGUUCUAUAGAACUCUACCUUGGUGACCCCGUAUGUCGAUAAACACAAGAACAGUCUGCGCUCCAAAUACCCGGAGCAGUGCGACGACUGGAUUAGAUGUGAACACAUCAGGACUUUUAGCAGUUGGUUGGAAGCACGUAUCAGAGGUGACAACACUGUUUGUGAUGAGCUGUACUUGUUGUCCAGGGGACCAUCUUUGACUGUAUUGAUUUGGAAAGGAUACGAGAUAAAUGGGAAUACAUUUUACACGAUUGACCAAGAUCAAAAAAGCACCAACCAAAACAGCGGUGUCCACUUUGAUGCAACAACCGAGAGGGGAAAGGACACACAUUAUGGUUACAUAGUGGACAUAUGGGAACUUGACUACGGAGUAGAUUUUAAGGUCCCUUUGUUUAAGUGCAAAUGGGUCAAUCUGUCAGGAGGCGGGGUACAGGUAGACCCACAGUACGGAAUGACAAUAGUGGAUCUGAAAAAUCUUGGGUACACUGACGAACCGUUCGUCCUAGCCAAUGAUGUGGCACAGGUUAUCUAUGUGAAGGACAUGUCUACCAGACCGAGAAAGAGAAAAGAUAAGGAAGCGAAUACAUCAUACGAUGAGCCAAAGCGCCACAUAGUUCUUUCAGGAAAAAGGGACAUCGUGGGAGUGAAGGACAAGACAGACAUGUCUGGAGAUUAUGAAAAGUUUCAUGAAAUUCCUCCCUUCAAAGUCAAGGCUGACCCCAGCAUCCUGAUAAACGAUGAAGAUUAUCCAUGGUUACGGCGCAAUAAGAAAAUGACACAAGCGAAGAAAAAGUGAAGACUUUCUCCCGCAACUAUUAUGAUGAUACCAUGCCAACUUUGUAACUGACGAGUAUGAUACCAUUGUUCAUUUUGUACAUGCACAUGCUAUGUGGGUCAAUUUAUGAUACCAUGCCAACUUUCAACUUUUUCAUAGUUCAUUUGAAAUGCUUUAAUGUCUUAUGGUUCGGCCCUCGUAAUAAUUAAAAAUAGCAACAAUUAGUAUUUUGUUGUAAGUAGAAACAAAAUAAAAUAAAUAAAGCAAGAAAGAAAACAAAAAAACAAAAAAAGUGUUUUCAAAUUUGAAAACUAAUGGCACUAACAGAAAGUUUAUAAUUUUCCUAAAACUAAAAGCAAAAACAAUUAAAAAAUGAAGCAAAAAACAAAUGAAAAUAAAUAAUGCAGAAAACAAAAGAAAAAAACAACNNNNNNNNNNNNNNNNNNNNNNNNNNNNNNNNNNNNNNNNNNNNNNNNNNNNNNNNNNNNNNNNNNNNNNNNNNNNNNNNNNNNNNNNNNNNNNNNNNNNNNNNNNNNNNNNNNNNNNNNNNNNNNNNNNNNNNNNNNNNNNNNNNNNNNNNNNNNNNNNNNNNNNNNNNNNNNNNNNNNNNNNNNNNNNNNNNNNNNNNNNNNNNNNNNNNNNNNNNNNNNNNNNNNNNNNNNNNNNNNNNNNNNNNNNNNNNNNNNNNNNNNNNNNNNNNNNNNNNNNNNNNNNNNNNNNNNNNNNNNNNNNNNNNNNNNNNNNNNNNNNNNNNNNNNNNNNNNNNNNNNNNNNNNNNNNNNNNNNNNNNNNNNNNNNNNNNNNNNNNNNNNNNNNNNNNNNNNNNNNNNNNNNNNNNNNNNNNNNNNNNNNNNNNNNNNNNNNNNNNNNNNNNNNNNNNNNNNNNNNNNNNNNNNNNNNNNNNNNNNNNNNNNNNNNNNNNNNNNNNNNNNNNNNNNNNNNNNNNNNNNNNNNNNNNNNNNNNNNNNNNNNNNNNNNNNNNNNNNNNNNNNNNNNNNNNNNNNNNNNNNNNNNNNNNNNNNNNNNNNNNNNNNNNNNNNNNNNNNNNNNNNNNNNNNNNNNNNNNNNNNNNNGCGCGCCGCCCCUUCCCCGACCCCGUCGCCAUCGCCGCGCGCGCCGCCCCUUCCCAAACCCCGUCGCCGUCGCCCCGACCAAACGCCGCCGCCUUCGGUCCGGCCGCCGGCGCCCUUUCCUCUUAUUUUUUUGUGCAUUUUAUGUAUAUGUUCUCUGUGUAUAUAUGUUCAUAUAUGCAAAAGUUAGAUUUUAGAAAAACUUUAUAUAUGCAAAAAUUUAUACAUAUAUGUACGUAUAGAUGUAUGUAUGUGGAUACAUGAGGGGGGUCGAUAUACCCCCUCUCCGAUAGCAUUUUUGUGCAUUUUUGGUUAGUGUAUAUAUAUGUUGAUGUAUAUGCAAAAGAUAGAUUUUUAGAAAAAAUACUAUUUUUUCUGUUGAUGAUAUGAUGAUGUUUUUUUUCAUAUAUGCAUUUUUUCAUAUAUGUAUUAUUUUUUUAAGUUGUUAGUAGAUAUCGAUUUUAGGUUAGUGCAUUUUAGGUUAGUGUAGAGGAGAAAUUUAAAGUAAAAUAAGGAAAAGGAAGAAAAGAGGAAGAAGGAAGAAAGAAGAAGAAAAAGAAUGAGAGGAAAAAGGAAAAUAAGAAGAUGAAGAAGAGGAGAGGAAGAAGAGGAGAAAUAAAUAAGAAGAGGAAAAAAGAAGAAAAAGAAGAGGAGAAGAAGAAAGGAAUAGAGGAGAAGAAGAAAAAAUAGAAAUUUUCUAUUUUUUCUUCUUCUCCUCUAUUCCUUUCUUCUUCUCCUCUUUUUUUUCUUCUUCUUCCUUCUUCCUUCUUCCCCUUUUCUUCCUUUUCCUUAAUUAUUUUCCUUUCUCGUCGUUGUCGAUAUAACCCCCUCGAGAUAACUUCGACAUGAGGGGCGGUCGAUAUAAAUACCCCCCCCCCCUCGGCCCUCUCGCUCGACNNNNNNNNNNNNNNNNNNNNNNNNNNNNNNNNNNNNNNNNNNNNNNNNNNNNNNNNNNNNNNNNNNNNNNNNNNNNNNNNNNNNNNNNNNNNNNNNNNNNNNNNNNNNNNNNNNNNNNNNNNNNNNNNNNNNNNNNNNNNNNNNNNNNNNNNNNNNNNNNNNNNNNNNNNNNNNNNNNNNNNNNNNNNNNNNNNNNNNNNNNNNNNNNNNNNNNNNNNNNNNNNNGCUCGACCAAAACUCUCGAGGACACCCAAACCCUAGAGAGAAAACGAUGUUGGUCUCCUACCCCCUCCCGCCGCGCCCCUACCCGACAAAUUAACUCUCUCGAAGCGUUGUUGUGUCGAGGCGACCGCAAACCCUAGAGAAGCACCGUUGAGGCCACUAACAUGAUUCCUUGUUGUGAUUAGCUGGCUAGUUCUACGUUUGCCACUAGUUCCAUCUGUACCAUAUAUAAACAUGUUGUAAAUAUUUGCAGAAACUAUGGAGCACUGCCGAGACGAAGAAGCAGAAGCGAUAUUGAGGGACAUAAUCUCAAAUGGAAGGGAUGAAGUUGCGUCAUUUCUCCUCGACACCGUUGUUGGUCAGCUGGAAGAACGGGGUGAAGAAGAGGGCUAUGUUCAUGAUGGCUUCGGCCCAUUACUGCCGGUACAAGAACAGGAGUAUGUUCAUGAUGGCUCCGGUGACACAAUGGAGGAACAAGAAGGAGACCGUGCUGACUGCUCCGGUGACCGAACCGAGCCCGGCCAGGUAUAUAUAUAUUAGUUAAGCCUGUGCUGACUAGUUAAUGGAUGCUUCCAUUGUUUUGGUAUAUGUACACAUAUUAAUUACUCUCGUCUUUCUUCCUUAUAAUUUCUAGCCCUCCGGAUCGAGCACAACUUCGGUAAGGAGACGAGGCCCGAAGAAAAAGUUGAGCUCGGAUGAAAAGUUUGAGAUCAUAGAAAUCGCGCCCGACGGCGAACCGAUUGAACCCAUCCGGACAAGGAAGGCAUUUUCUUCUCAGUGCGGGGUUCUUGUUAGGGAGAAGAUCCCGAUCAGCAUCCAGCAAUGGUAUAAGCCUAAGGAGGAAGACCCUGAGGUGUCUUAUGUCAAUGAUACGCAGAAAGAAUAUCUUUGGACUGAGCUGAAGGCAAAUUUCACCCUACCGCCAGAGGAGGAUCCGGAGAAGCCAGUUAAAGAGGAAUUAAUCAAGUCUUGUGCUCUUAAGAAGAUGGCAACCCUAAUGAGGAGGUGGAGGAAAGAGCUGAACCAGUUUGUCAAAAAUAAAAAGACACCAGAAUUCAUCGGCAAAUAUGAGAAGAUCAAAGAUCACAGGCCCGCAUUUGUGGCCCACAAGACAUCGGAAAAGAGUAAGAAGAUGUCGGAGACAAACAAGAAAAAUGCUGCGAACAAGACGCUUCACCAUCGCACGGGUUCAGGUGGCUACCUGCAAGCCCGUCCUAAGUGGUCCAAGGCUGAGAAUGAUCUGCUUGAAAAAGGGAUCGAACCAGAGACAAUGAGAUGGCCAGACCGUUGCCGGACUUGGUUCUUCGGGUCUGGCGGAACCUUGGACCCUGUAACAGGGUUUUGCCAGUGGACGGACGAGCAACUGGAAAUACCAGUCAAGAACCUUCGACACUAUAUCGAUGCAGCGCAGCGAGGGACGUUCCUUCCAAACAGGGAGAAGGACGAGCUCACAAUGGCCCUUGGGAAUCCUAAGCACCCUGGACGGACACGAGGCACGCCAGGCUCCAUUCCGUGGAAGGUUGGUUUUCCGGACGUAGGGGGUUACAAAACCCACGAGAGGAGGAAGAAACUGGAGCAGGACCAACUGCAGGCGCUGCACGAAAGGGUAAUGGGGCUAGAGGAUCGAGAAGAGGAACGAGAAGCAGCAGAUCGCAGCAAAUGACCUGCCGAAGCUUCCCCCGAAGCUACCCCGCCAUCUCAGCGGAGAAGCAGCGUGGCUUCCACCGAGCUGCUUCAGCCGGAGCAUGUCUUGACGGCUCCUGCCAGCUAUCCUGUGGAUGGUAUUACAGAGUCUCAAAAUUGCCACAUGAUGGCGCGAUGGAUGACUUUGAAGGUCAAGGCGGCUGUUGGCCAAGUUUAUCCUAGUGGACCCGGCAUAACUUAUCACUGCCAGCCGAUUCCAAAAGGAUAUGCUAAGGUGAUGGUGGAUGAAAUAAGGGAGGGAUUUGAGGACCUCGUGCUUGACCACCCUACCGGUGAAGGGGAGACUAGGCUGGGUUCUGCUCUGAAGACUCCAUGCCUAUGGAAGAAGGAGCUCAUCAACCUUUUGAACUGGACGCCUCCGCCUCCUCCUCCUGCUCCGGCGAGUCAGGGCACUCCGCCUCCUCCACCGCCUCCUCCUCUGACGAGUGACGAUCAGGGCACGCGUGGCGGCACUCCGCCUCCUUCUCCGGCGCAUGGCGGCACUCCGCCUCCUUCUCCGCCUGCGCCGGCGCUCCCGAGCAGCCAGCAGCAUCCUCCUUCUCCGCCUCGCCAGCAAGGGCGAAAGAGACCCGCCGCCGCCCCGGCUGCUCCGGCGCGUCGUACUCCUUCUCCUCCGCCUCGUAAGCAAGCACGAAAGAAGACAGACGCCGCAGCCGCUCCGUCUGCUCCGGUGUCUAGCAGCACAACCAGAGGCGGAAGGCAAUACAAAUACGGUCCAUCAUCUCUCAAGCCUCUAGAGAAGUUACCGUAUGAGAGGUCCGAGGAGGAAAACGAUACGAUUGUGCGGACCCACGUGAAGGAGUUCGGGGUGAAAGCAAAGAGACAUCCACCUCCGGAGGAGAAGGUAGAUCCGGUGAAGGCAAAGCGCACUAUCGAUGCCCUGAGGAAACCACCAAAGUCUCCGCCGAGAACCAACUAUGAGCGCAUUACUGAACAGACAUAUCUCCAAGCCCAGCGGUCGGGAACUACUGUCAGUGCUAAAAGGUCAAAAGAACGAGCAAAGGGGAAAAAAUUGCCCAGCUCGGCGAACAAGCACAACAAUCGUGCCCCCCGCUCAAUGUGUCUAAUGCUCCGGGGACGGUGGCCGGUUAUGGCAAUCUUGACGAUUACCUGCCUGACGAUGCACUUCCUGAUUUCGUGGAGGUGGACGAACAUAGAUACGAGUACGGGAAGCCUCUCGUCAAAGAUGAAAAAUCUCUGACAACAAUGAUGCGAAGAUUCCAUAAUUGGUACAUGGAAACCUGCAGAGAGUCUAAGGGUAAGAAUGCUUUGUAUCUGCAUAUUAAAGAGGAGCACGAUCUCGUUGCAAAUGAUCUGUUGACUAUUCCAUUUGAGGAGUUCUUCGAGUUCUUCAAUCAAAAGGCCCUCGAUAAAUUAAUGGUCUUUUGCUACUGCGUGUAAGUACUAUUUCUGUCAUUAAGUCUUUAUAUAUAGAUCGGCUCUUUCAUUGCAUGUAUUUAUAAUUAAUUAUCCUCAAUAUAUUAUGCAGAUUGAAGAUCGUCGAGUGCAAAAAACAAGAAAUUUAUGAUAUUGGGUUCAUUAACACAAAUAUCAUAGAUGUAUUUCUGGUUAAAAAGAACGUCAAAGAGGCCGAGGACAACUUGCUACAAUCGUUGAUCAAAAAUCAAAACAAAGAUAACAUAAUCUUUCCUUACAACGGCCCGUGAGUGUUACUGUCGUGUGCAUAUUCGGUUUCCCUUAUUACUCAAGCGAGAUUAUAGUAAUGUAAUUGAUGAGUUAUGCAUGCGUGCGCAGGUACCACUAUAUUCUUCUGGAGAUUAAGCUUGAGCGUGGACUAGUGACCGUCUUAGACUCGAGACGGAAAGAUCCCAAAUCCUAUGCGGACAUCACUGAAAUGCUCAGCAAGUAAGUUCAAUCGAUCAUUAUCGCACCAUAUCGGCAACUUUUUGUUCAUUUCCUGAUAUCUCAAGUAAUAAUAAUAAUUUUCUUUGUCUGGCAGGGUUUGGAAAUAGUUCACCGCAGAAGCUCCGGGACUGCCGAAGGAGCUGACAUAUAAAUGGCCGAAAGUAAGUACUACCGGCUAGCUAGUUGCGCGCAUCUCCCGUUGAUUCUAUAGCUAUACUUGCAUCAAUGCCAUUUAUAAUGCUUCAUUAUCAGUUUGAUUGACCUCUAUUUCUCGUAAAGUGCUUGUGGCAGGAGGAAGGGAAUGAUUUCUGUGGAUACUACGUGUGCGAGUUCAUCCACACCGCGACUUUGAAAAACAAGCGGGGCUACUCUCAAAGACAAUAUGAAGUGCGUAAGCAAUAAUAUUCACAAUUUCAUUUUAUUACACCAUCAUUUCUGUUGAGUUUCAUUCAUAUAUAUGUAUUAAUUAACCCCCUUCUUCAAAUUAGACAUGGCAGAUGCGGAAUGAACUCCUAGAACCAGAUCGCAUGAAAGCAAUUCAAGAGGAAUUUGCGGGAUUCUUUCUUGACCACGUCAUCAAUAAAGCCGGAGAAUAUCAUGUGGAAAUUGAUUUCAAAUGCUAGGGGUUUGUAAUUAAGAGAUCUUAUACAUAUUGUACAUGUAUGUAGCCAGUAGCGUCGGAUACAUGAUACGAAAACUUGUUGUUCGACCAAUCUCUCGCAGAAGCAGAGGUCGAUCGAUCACUUCUCUCGGUAUGCAUGAUGAACUUCUGUACUGAAUGGUUCUCUCGAUCACCAAUGUAUAUAUAGUACGUAGCGUCGACCAAGCACGGACAUAAGAGAGGACACUUCUCUCUAUUAAUUAGCUAGCUAACACAAUAUAUGAAACCCCCAACACCUAAAUUAACCCCCCAAAACACCUAAAUUAACCAAAGGCCCCCUGACUGGGCUCGGCGCACAGGGCCACGUGGAGGCACAUUGGUCCCGGUUCUAGUUUGAACCGGGACUAAUGGGUGGAGGUAUUAGUAACGGCCCAUUAGUCCCGGUUCAUGAACCAGGACUAAAGGCCCUUACGAACCGGGACUAUUAGGUGUUUUUCUACUAGUGAUGUCAUCUAUAUCCAAUGUAAUAGGUAACACGUAUAAUACUUGGCUUUAAAAAAGUACUACUUCGUCAACACAUGGCCCAUCUUUCACUUUCACAAACCUUCUUGGAGUUUGUGUGACAGCCCGCUUCUCUUUUCUCUCUUCCAACUGAACAACAAUAUAAUAUUUACAUCCUUAUAGUCUGCUUACAUCAUCUUAUUAUACUUGCUCUUACGUUGUUGUAGACCUAUUGUUAUAGCUUGUCUCUUGGCAUCAACAUGAAUGUUCAUGCAAGAUUGAAAAGAAGAAAAUUUCCUAGAUUAUCAAAAAAAAGCUAAAAGAAGUCCUUUGAACACACAGUGCCUCAGCCACACGAGCACCAAAAUUUCGUUUUCCUUAGCAAAACACUAAUGGCCCAUCCCGUAACCCACUGAUGGCCCAAACCCUAACGGAAGAAAACCUAAGUCCCUUGCCUGUGGCCAUAGGUUUGAAUCUCCUUGCUCCUGGCUUGAGGAUCGACGAAACCACCGACCAUCUUGCGCCGCCAUGUUCGUUCCGUCAGAUCGCUCCCAUUUCCACUCAUGAAGGUUGUGUCUCAACUCCUCAAUGUGUGUCCGGUAGGCAGUGCAGCAGCAUCCGUCCACCAUCGCAAACUCCUUCACCGAUACCCUGACCCCCUCUCUAUCUUCUUUCGUUGCAGGUCUUCCUGUCCUCCCCACGAAGGCAUGGCGGCCGAGUGGCUCGCCGAAGAUCUUCUUGUCGAGAUCCUCUCACGCGUCUCGACAAGGUCUCUAUGCUACUUCAAGUGCGUCUCCGACCAUUGGCUCAGCCUCAUCCACCACCCCGAUCACCCACAGGAAGCUCCCUCAAACCCUAGCCAGAUUCUUCUACACUAGGAGUGACAACAGGCAGUUGCCUCUGGAAACACAAGUCCGCUUCGCUGGUGUCUCUGGGAAAUGUUGUCCUCCAGUCGACACCUCUUUCACCUUCCUUUGCAGCCACCGGCGCGUCGAUCUACUCGGUUACUGCAGUGGCCUCCUCCUCUGUCGCUGGUACGACGUCUCUGCUCCGGAUGAUGAGUUCUGCUAUAUUGUGUGUAAUCCUGCCAUGGAGGAGUGGGUCAAGUUGCCGGACAUCAGUCAAGCUGACAAUGUGCGAGCACUGCAUUUGGGUUUCCAUCCGGCUGUGUCUGCCCACUUCUAUGUGUUUGCGUUGCUGGAGGAUGUCCAUUUUAUCUUCUACCUUGCCGAAGUGGAAGUAUAUUCACCUGAAACCAGAAAGAUGGGUUUACAAGGAAAUUGGAUGGUACAAAAGAAUUAAGCUUCCUGCUUGGCAGUCUGAUGCUGUCUUCCUCAACGGCUGCUUGCAUUUUUAUGACUCUGGCAAAUGUUCACCAUUUAUAUACGUGUGGUGGACACGGAGGAAAAAACAUGGCCGAACCUUGGUAUCCCUGGUAAGCUGUAUGGUGGUUUUAUUCGGCAGUCACAGGGCUGUUUGCAUUAUGCCAAUUUUAAGAAAGAUCACCAUGGUGAGGUGGUUCGACUAGUGGUCUAUGUUCUCGAUGACUAUGACAACAAAGAACGGAUAUUGAAGCAUAGUGUUGAAGCUUCAGAUAUAUCUGGAGCGACAAAUGUUACUGAUUCUGAUCGGUUUACAAUUCAUUCAGUUAUUCCCGUUGGAUUGCGAUUCAUCUGCAAUGUAACUUGAUCUUCUUCACCAUGGUGUCAGCUUCCACAUUAUGUGCUAUAAUAUGGACCUUCGGCAAGUCAAAGUGAUUUGCAAUCAUGAUGGCUAUCCACGUGUACUAUAUGUGCCAUUGUAUGUAUUUCUGCUUGGAUUUGGUUCUCGUUUUCUUGGCUGAUGUAUGCAUGCUUUUUGUUGGGAGACACAGUAGAAAACAAAAAAAAAUCACACCUACGAUCACCAACAUCAAUAUGAAGAUGCAUCAAUGAUCAAUGAGUGUCAUGCAACAUAAACUCGUAUCUUCCAUUUUAAGUUGGGGAAAAUCAUAAGCAUCUUAUUGACAAAGAACUAGCCAAUGAUUGCUUGUCUUUUACUCGCAUAUGUCUGAAAUAGUUUACCUUUGCUCUUAUAUAUGUCUUAGUUGAUCAUGAAACACUUUGGAUGAAUAUGGUGUCACUUCUGUUGAUGCUAAUUACUUUUGUUGCAUGUUUUGAAUAGAAAAUGUCAUUAGCAGAACAUCAAUAAUCUGUGAUUGGAUUAUAAUGUUGAUUCUUUUGCUAGACAAGUUCGUUACUCUAAAACUGAAGACAUCCAGUUUGCCGGUGACUUUUGUUGAGAUGGGCAUUUGAACAAGGUCUGGAAGAAGAAAUGUCAUGUCCCUUUUCAUGGUAGUUUCACUUAUUUCCUGUCAAAGAAAAAGUGUUAAUUCUAGUUGUAUGGUCAGCAUUUUUUGCAACAUGCACCCCACUAUCCCAAUGCAAAUAUGUAGUGUUGACUUUGGACGCCCUGUAACACAAACACCAAGUGGCUGUCGCUGUAUUUUUUUUUUUUGUGAAAUAACAAGUGUUUGUUCUACUUCUACCAUGUCUGCUUAUAUGUUUUCAGAUACAAGUAAAUGAACCACGAACAAGAGUGAAAGACGGCACCACCUGUAAAUAGCAUACCUUGGAAAAAAAUUAUCUUCCGGUUUUUUCCCGUUUUGUAAACGAGUUUGUCUCCCAUUUUUCACACAGGGCAAGGAUAUCAGCCUCGAGCCUCCAAGACAAACUGAAACCAACCCUGCCAUUUGUCAUUUGCUCCCUUCUCUGUAUCAGGGACAGCGCCAGUGUUUAUGAAGAGAUUGAUCUGAUUAGAAGGAAGGUUUGGCUGUAAGAAGACACUCUCUGGAGUCUAGACAUGUAGGAUUUUUGUUUUCCGAACAGAAAGUGCUCCAGACGACUAAAAGAGUGUCGUUCACUUUCCGAAGUACUUCAGUCAGUACGUACAGCGUUUCAUCGUCAUUUCUGAAACAAAAAGUACAGAAUGAAACCUGCACCUUUGUCGCGCCCCUCUCAUUUGCUUGCCUCACGGUGUCGUAGACGGCGCUGUUGUUCAGGAGGAACGAGAUUGUUUCUCCCUUUGUUGUUCGCGGUUUAAAAGUGGAUGGAUGUAGGAGGGCACCCUUGUGCACAUAAGGAUGUUGCAUAAAUCUAUGGGAGCUCAAAAUAUCAGUAAUAAGCUUGGGUUCGCUCGCUUCUGACCAUACAUAUGAAUUGUGGCAGCCGGCUAGCAAGGAAUCUAUGGGCCAAAACCCACUUCUUUUCAGUUUCUGAAUCUACAAACCUAGAACCAGCUGAGGAAUCUGAAAAGAACUAGCCAUAUGUUGUGGAAGGCGCUGGUCGCUGAUGACCUGGUUAAUUAGGCCAGCACAACUACCAUCUCCCUACAUGAAAUAACACACCACAAGCAAAGAAAAAAACUCUUUCUGUAUCCUUCUCUCCUUCGCUAGAUUCAGACAGAAGAGAGAGGGCUGUCGCCCAGGGAGAUAUUAGUACAAUGCUGCCGUGAGGUUUAGCCCAAUAUAUUUGUGUAUAUUCCUACUUUUAUGUUUUUUGGGGUUGACUUUUUAAAGGGGUCUAGUGGAAAUGUGACAUGUACGGUUUAGCCCAAUAUUACCAAUGACGGCCCAUUAGCCAUCCCUGUCGCUGUACGUUUAAAUCCCCUCCCCCGCCCCCUAGGUUUCAUCGCCCCCCUGCUCCGCGUUUGACGGCGCUGCCGCCGCCGCCAUGUCCACACCGGUGGAUCGAGCUCGCCCGUGGGAGGACGGACGCAAAUCAACUCGGAUCAGGUACGCAGAGCAGACAUCGCCAUGAAUCGUCGCGACCUUCCUCUCCCUUCUUCACCCAAUCCCCUGAGACCUCUUCUCCAUCUCUGUGUGCAGGUCAUCCUCUUCUCCUCCCAGCGGCAGCGAGACGGCAGCCGAGAGACUCACCGACGACCUCCUCGUCGAGAUACUCUCGCGCGUGCCCGGCAGGUCGCUCUGCCGCUUCAAGUGCGUCUCCAAGCACUGGCUCGGCCUCAUCAACGACCGCACCUACCGCCGGAAGCUCCCCCGGACCCUGACCGGCUUCUUCUUCAGGGAAACCUCGGAGGAGCAAUUGGUACAUCCAGUUCUUCCUUUCACCAAUUUAUCCGGGAGCCGCAGUCGCACCAGUCUCACCUUCCUGCCCAACGGCCGAAACGCCUUUCUUUUGGACUGUUGCAAUGGCCUCCUUCUCUAUGAUGUAUCUUCCCAUCGUGGCAAGCGCCGUUACGUCGUGUGCAAUCCUGCCACGGAGGAAUGGACUGAGUUGCCGCAUUGCGACCAUGCCGGCUGGGUGGGUAUUGUGCACUUAGGUUUUGAUCCAGCCGUGUCCCCCCACUUCCAUGUGUUUUUGUUGACGGACCAACUAAAUGGAUUUGGUCUCCCGGGUGUGGACGUCUGUUCAUAUGUCUAUUCAUCGGAAACCGGGAGGUGGGUUCAUAAGGAGAAGAAAUGGUACUGGGAUAUUGAUCUAGUUCGUGUUCACUCAGCUGCAUAUCUUAAUGGUUGUCUGCAUUUUUUCGCCGAAAUCAAUCACAAUACCCUGUGUCUAGCUGCCGACAAGGAGGCGGGAACAAUGAUAUACUCUCAUGUUCCUCCUCUGAAUGAUGGUUUUAUGCAGAAGUCACAGGGCUGCUUGUAUUAUGCUGGUUUUGGAAGAGAUGACAAUGAUGAUAAUGUAGUUCGACUGCUAGUUUAUGUUCUCGAAGACUAUAAUAGUAAAGAAUGGAUACUGAAGCAUAGCAUUGAAAGUUCACAUCUAUGUGGAGGGCGACAUGAUGUAGACAUUGAGGAGGACUUUUGUUGGAUUGCAAUUCAUCCGGAAUGUAACUUGAUCUUCUUCACCUUGGGCUGGGAUAGAACAUUCAUGUGCUAUGAUUCAGGGUGGACACGGUCCGGGCCGGUCCGGUCCCGGUCCGAGCCGCCGUUUGGACCGGACGCCGGCGGUCCGGGCCGGACCGGACCGAGCUGUGCAACGGUCCUGAUUACAGGGACCGGACCGGCUGGCAUGAAGCUCGGUGCGGACCGGCGGUCCUGGCGGUCUUGGUGCCGUCCAAUCACUGCCAUGUGGGCCUAGGAAAUCGGAGUGCUGGUCGGAGUAGCAACACGGUGGCCGGAGCCGGAGAAGAAGCACCUGAUGCACGGUGGCGCGAGAGAAAGGCACGGGAGAGAGAGGGAGCAGCAUGGCGCGAGGCAGAGGCGUGGUGGCGCGAGGGGACGACGGCGAGAGGUAGAGGCGCGGCGGCGCGAGGUUGUGCUAGGAGAGGAAGUCGAGGAAGACCGCGGCGCAGGGGAGGAAGAGGGGCUGCGCAGGGGAGGAAGAGGGACGGCGCGUGCGAGGAAGAGGAGGCAGUGGCAGUUCGCUAGGUCACGCACGCCCCUCUUAUUAGCUUUAUUGGGCUGGGCUCUUCUGAUUAGCUUUAUUGGGCUGGGCCUUCGGUCCUCCGAGCCGGCCGAGCUUUAACCGGACCGGACCGACCGAAUUUCGGUCUCGUUUUCACGGACCGGACCGGCCAUAUUAUCUAGCGAGCCAGGCCCGUACGGUCCGGUCCAUAACGGGCCGCGGUCCAGGCCAGAAGCCCGCUCGUCCCGUCCACCCUGAGCUAUGAUAUGGAUCGCCGGCAACUCAAAGUGAUAUGCAAUCUUGAAAAUUGCGCUCCAGCAUAUCUGCCACAUGUGCCGCUAUAUGAAGAGUUACAAUCGUUGCACAAGUGAUGUCAAUUAUUUGUGCUAUUGCCUAUGGAGCAUCGGGUUUGGUACGUCUGCUGCAUUUGGUUUGGUCUGUGAUUGAAUGUUCUGAUGUUUUCUAUUCUUUUCAGUUUGGAGCAAUGGUGAGAUUCGUUCUGGGGCCAUUGUGGCUGAUUUCUCUCAGAUGGCUUAUUCAAAUGUUCAAUGUACUUUCUGUUGUAUGUACUUAUUUGUUAUACCAAUGGUUCUGGACACCAGAGGAUGUGAUACACUUUGGCUGAUUACAUUGUCACUUCUUUUGGUGCUAUUUACUUGUCUGAUUCAAAUAGCUUAUGCUGUUAGCAUAACAUCAC